GACGAACGCUGGCGGCGUGCUUAACACAUGCAAGUCGAACGGAAAGGCCCUGCUUUUGUGGGGUGCUCGAGUGGCGAACGGGUGAGUAACACGUGAGUAACCUGCCCUUGACUUUGGGAUAACUUCAGGAAACUGGGGCUAAUACCGGAUAGGAGCUCCUGCUGCAUGGUGGGGGUUGGAAAGUUUCGGCGGUUGGGGAUGGACUCGCGGCUUAUCAGCUUGUUGGUGGGGUAGUGGCUUACCAAGGCUUUGACGGGUAGCCGGCCUGUGAGGGUGACCGGCCACAUUGGGACUGAGAUACGGCCCAGACUCCUACGGGAGGCAGCAGUGGGGAAUAUUGCACAAUGGGCGGAAGCCUGAUGCAGCAACGCCGCGUGCGGGAUGACGGCCUUCGGGUUGUAAACCGCGUUCGCCUGUGACGAAGCGUGAGUGACGGUAAUGGGUAAAGAAGCACCGGCUAACUACGUG
This 468-nucleotide ribosomal RNA is filed under the name uncultured bacterium. RNAcentral describes it as "partial 16S ribosomal RNA". It matches the Rfam family "Bacterial small subunit ribosomal RNA", at positions 28 to 507 of the family's 1533-position model. The record is from RNAcentral.